Molecule: transfer RNA, 74 nt
Filed under: Candidatus Zixiibacteriota bacterium
Lineage: Bacteria; Pseudomonadati; Candidatus Zixiibacteriota
Description: tRNA-Pro
Rfam family: tRNA
About the family: Transfer RNA (tRNA) molecules are approximately 80 nucleotides in length.
Source: RNAcentral
CGGGGUGUGGCGCAGCCUGGUAGCGCACUUGGUUUGGGACCAAGAUGUCGGAGGUUCAAAUCCUCUCACCCCGA